UCCUCAUUAGUAUAGUGGACAGUAUCUCCGCCUGUCAUGCAGAAGACCGGGGUUCGAUUCCCCGAGGGGGAG
Tetraodon nigroviridis (spotted green pufferfish) is the source of this 72-nucleotide non-coding RNA. NCBI's taxonomy places the organism in Eukaryota, Metazoa, Chordata, Actinopteri, Tetraodontiformes, Tetraodontidae. The record is from Rfam.